This 445-nucleotide ribosomal RNA is filed under the name uncultured Brooklawnia sp. Its description in RNAcentral is "partial 16S ribosomal RNA". Lineage: Bacteria; Bacillati; Actinomycetota; Actinomycetes; Propionibacteriales; Propionibacteriaceae. The record is from RNAcentral.
GACUACUAGGGUAUCUAAGCCUGUUUGCUCCCCACGCUUUCGCUUCUCAGCGUCAGGAAAGGUCCAGAGAACCGCCUUCGCCACUGGUGUUCCUCCCGAUAUCUGCGCAUUCCACCGCUCCACCGGGAAUUCCAUUCUCCCCUACCUUCCUCUAGUCAGCCCGUAUCGAAAGCAGGCUCAGGGUUGAGCCCUGAAUUUGCACUUACGACGUGACUAACCGCCUACAAGCUCUUUACGCCCAAUAAAUCCGGACAACGCUCGCACCCUACGUAUCACCGCGGCUGCUGGCACGUAGUUAGCCGGUGCUUCUUUUGCAGGUACCGUCACUUGCGCUUCGUCCCUGCUGAAAGCGGUUUACAACCCGAAGGCCGUCAUCCCGCACGCGGCGUUGCUGCAUCAGGCUUUCGCCCAUUGUGCAAUAUUCCCCACUGCAGCCCCCCGUAGG